RNAcentral lists this ribosomal RNA (251 nucleotides) under uncultured prokaryote. RNAcentral describes it as "partial 16S rRNA". It matches the Rfam family "Bacterial small subunit ribosomal RNA", at positions 525 to 775 of the family's 1533-position model. The record is from RNAcentral.
ACGUAGGGGGCGAGCGUUGUCCGAAAUUACUGGGCGUAAAGGGCGCGCAGGCGGGCUGUUAAGUGCGAGGUGAAAGGCUGGGGCUCAACCGCAGCAGUGCCUCGCAUACUGGCGGUCUGGAGGGCGGGAGAGGGAAGUGGAAUGGCUGGUGUAGCGGUGAAAUGCGUAGAUAUCAGUCGGAACACCGGUGGCGAAGGCGGCUUCUUGGGCCGUUACUGACGCUGAGGCGCGAAAGCCGGGGGAGCGAACGG